GACGAACGCUGGCGGCGUGCUUAACACAUGCAAGUCGAACGGAAAGGCCCUGCUUGCAGGGUACUCGAGUGGCGAACGGGUGAGUAACACGUGGGUGAUCUGCCCUGCACUUCGGGAUAAGCCUGGGAAACUGGGUCUAAUACCGGAUAGGAGCCAUUUUUAGUGUGAUGGUUGGAAAGUUUUUUCGGUGUAGGAUGAGCUCGCGGCCUAUCAGCUUGUUGGUGGGGUAAUGGCCUACCAAGGCGGCUACGGGUAGCCGGCCUGAGAGGGUGGACGGCCACAUUGGGACUGAGAUACGGCCCAGACUCCUACGGGAGGCAGCAGUGGGGAAUAUUGCACAAUGGGCGCAAGCCUGAUGCAGCGACGCCGCGUGGGGGAUGACGGCCUUCGGGUUGUAAACUCCUUUCGCUAGGGACGAAGCUUUUUGUGACGGUACCUAGAGAAGAAGCACCGGCUAACUACGUG
Molecule: ribosomal RNA, 465 nt
Filed under: uncultured bacterium
Lineage: Bacteria
Description: partial 16S ribosomal RNA
Rfam family: Bacterial small subunit ribosomal RNA
Source: RNAcentral